AACUAGCAGAACCACUGAACAUGCUGCAUUCAUUUUCAAAGAAACAUGGAGAACAUUGUUGUGAGGCCAUGGUGGGGUCACUUGUAUGUGUAUUUCAUGGGAAAGAAACGCACAAAGUGGCAACCGUUCAGAUCUUUUUCUGUAAAAUUGCAUUUAAGAUUCCUGUCAAGUUUCUGCGUUAUCUGCAUUCUAAUCUGCCAUUAGCGUCAUGCUGCGUUAUUUGAAUACAAAUGAGUGCAACAAGUAUAUGUAUGAAAAUAAAAUGCCACGUAUUCCUGAACGCAGUUCCAAAGUGAUGGUAAGAUAUACAUUCUGUUUCUUAAUAAAUUAAAAUAUCAGUCUGAAGUUACAAUUCCAGGCACUGCCUACUGUCGUGCUGAAAUCAAAAGGGCAAACAAUCCCUUCUUCUAUACCAGUGGAGUAGCCUAAACCCCAAUAUACACCUUCCAACUCCAACAGCACGAAAAUUUUACUAUCUCGAUAUCCCCAUUUUACUAUGUCGUACCCACUAAUCAAAACCGGAAAAAUAAGCGAGGAAAACAGCCGUUCCACAUAACGUCGAGCACAUGGCGCGCGCUCUCGAAGCUGGCCUAAUGGUAGAAGACGACGGGCGGGACGGCGAACCCGGAAUCCUUGAGGAACGGGACUACCUGCGGUUGCUCGGAGAGGUCGUGGUAGAAGGCGUACUCCGCAUCGUAGUCGUGGAGGUCUAGCUCCGCCUUUUGGUUGCUGUGGUAAUGGUGCUUGGCGUCGGAAGACUUGCCGAAGCCGAACACGCUGACUCUGUCGCACACUCCCACGGCGACCAUGAUGGCUUGCAUCCCGGACGAGUAAUGGAACAUGGCGGCGUCGUGCGCGCGGUCCCAUUCCUCGGGCGCGCGGCCGGUCUCGGCGACGAAUCGGCGGAGGGAGUAGUACUUGACGAUGCGCGCGCAGAGGACGUCGAGGCGGGCGUCGGUGACGGAGAUGGGGGAGCCGUGGCGGGAGGACGAGGUGGCGUUGCAGGCGGCGACGUCGACGAAAUGGGCGGCCUGGCAGAUAUAGAGCAGGAUGGGGACGCCGUGGCCGUAAGGGUGGCAGAAGCACCCGGGCCGGCGCGCGCAGAGGUGAAGAACGUUGCUGUUGAUGAAGGAGAAGUUGGUCUUGCUGCCGACGUGCGCGGCGUAGCCUGAGACGCGGGCGUUGUUGAGGCGGAACACGGCUGCGUGGGAAUCGAUGAGGGCUCCAUGGUUCGCGCGCAGGAGGAUGCCACUGUUGCCGACGACGGCGCAGGAGGGGAUGCGCCCGGGGAUGGAGAGCAGGGAGGGGAGGGUGGCGAGGACGGCAGGGUCGUAGCGGCGGAGGCGGUGCCAGGAGCGGAGGUCGCGGCGCAGGGCGGGGUCGAUGUGGAGCUGCUCGUGGCGCGGGAGCGGGUGGAGCAGGAUGUCGUGGUCGUCGUCCGGGUAGCGGCCGCGGCGCGGGAGCGGGAAGCUGCGGUGGCGGUGGAGGUGGAGCGGGUGGAGGAGGCCGCGCCGACGAGCCCGACGAAGAUGAGCACCGCGAAGGAGCGCCGCAGCGGCCGCUUCAUCGCCGCCGCGGGCGCAGCCCCAGCCUGGGGGCUAGCUGGGUCGGAGCCACCGCAUCCGCAUGGGGGCACGCCAAUCAGGCAGAGGAGGAGGAGAGAGGUGAGAGCCCGCGACGCGCGGGGCGUGUCCGUGCGACCGAUCCGGGCCGACCGGCCGAGCAGUGUCCGAGUGGCGAAGUGGGCGCGGCCGUGGCCGCGUGGGGGCAGCGAGUUCUUUAUUGGUCGCCGUGCUAACGGGCUUGCGACUUGCGAGGCGGGUAGGAUUAUAGGAGUGUGCUAUUCAUGGUUGGUUGGACUUUGGGGUUCGGCAAACGGGGGAUCCAAUGUGCCCUGCUCCGGU
Molecule: unclassified non-coding RNA, 1904 nt
Filed under: Zea mays
Lineage: Eukaryota; Viridiplantae; Streptophyta; Magnoliopsida; Poales; Poaceae
Description: misc RNA Zm00001eb366940
Source: RNAcentral